Molecule: ribosomal RNA, 301 nt
Filed under: uncultured bacterium
Lineage: Bacteria
Description: partial 16S ribosomal RNA
Rfam family: Bacterial small subunit ribosomal RNA
Source: RNAcentral
CAGUCGCCACGGUAAUAUGUAGGGUGCGAGCGUUAAUCGGAAUUACUGGGCGUAAAGCGUGCGCAGGCGGUUGUGUAAGACAGGUGUGAAAUCCCCGGGCUUAACCUGGGAACUGCGCUUGUGACUGCACAGCUAGAGUAUGGCAGAGGGGGGUGGAAUUCCACGUGUAGCAGUGAAAUGCGUAGAGAUGUGGAGGAACACCGAUGGCGAAGGCAGCCCCCUGGGCCAAUACUGACGCUCAUGCACGAAAGCGUGGGGAGCAAACAGGAUUAGAUACCCCUGUAGUCCCUGUCUCUUAUAC